Molecule: ribosomal RNA, 301 nt
Filed under: uncultured bacterium
Lineage: Bacteria
Description: partial 16S ribosomal RNA
Rfam family: Bacterial small subunit ribosomal RNA
Source: RNAcentral
CAGCAGCCACGGUAAUACAGAGGGUGCGAGCGUUAAUCGGAUUUACUGGGCGUAAAGCGUGCGUAGGCGGCUAAUUGAGUCGGAUGUGAAAUCCCCGAGCUUAACUUGGGAAUUGCAUUCGAUACUGGUUAGCUAGAGUGUGGGAGAGGAUGGUAGAAUUCCAGGUGUAGCGGUGAAAUGCGUAGAGAUCUGGAGGAAUACCGAUGGCGAAGGCAGCCAUCUGGCCUAACACUGACGCUGAGGUACGAAAGCAUGGGGAGCAAACAGGAUUAGAUACCCCCGUAGUCCCUGUCUCUUAUAA